AUGUCUACCUUAUAUUUUAAAAAUUGUGUGGCCUGCGGCGCAAAACUGCCCGACUCCGAUGGACACAAUAAGUGUCUUAUAUGCCUGGGGGAGGGCCAUGUGCCUCAGACGUGCCAAAUUUGCCAAAAUUUUACCCCCCAAGCACGCCGCAACAGGGAAGCCCGCCUUAAGGCCGCUCUAUAUGAACAGGCUCUGGCGCCAGAAGCGGCGCGCGCUUCCAAACGGCCAUGCCCUGAAACACUCUCCCGCCCUUCCUCUACAGAAGAGCAAGAUCCCCCUCCCCCCGCUGAAGAGGGAUUGGCAGGCCCACUCGAGCCGCCGACCGAGGCGCCGAGGAAAAAAGCCAAAGCCGCCAAACCACAGAAGGGGCUCAAACCCAAGGAUGGCUUCAAAAAAUAUAAAAAAGGGAGGCAACUCAUUGGCGAGAAGCCCCUGAGUCCCCCACCACAAGCCUCACCUGAACGCGAUUCUUCUCGGGACCGAGAUUCCCCGAUUCCGCCUUCCAUAGAGGAAGCUCCGCCCCAUCUAUCCCCUGUGGAGCCCUCCCAGACCCCGGGGGCAGCGGCGACGAGCGUGAGCGUGCACACCAACCCUCAGAACGCCAGCUCUUCCCCGCCGCAAACUUUGUGCUAUCCCCCGCCCCGCCCAACAGCAGAGGCAGGGAGCAGCGCCAUGGAGCGCCGAGGCCGGAGUGCCGAGCGACGGCAGCAGACCGCACACGGAAGGCGUCGGUACCGUGAGCGUUCCCCCUCUUCUGAAUCCUGGGGCUCGCGUUCGAGGAGCCCUUCCAGGGCCUCCUUUUACCCACGAUCUCUGUCUCCUGGCCAUAGCUCGCUCUAUCGUUACCCCAAUUUCUUUUAUCCCCCCCCCCCUCCAUUCCCCGCUUACCCUCCUUACCAUUAUUUUGACUUCCAUCGAAACCGAGGGGAAUUGCCUCUUCCAGUACAAGGGCAAACUCCUGAUGCCCCUCCCAUUUCAGCCACUCAAGCCAAAGUUGUUCAACAGCCCCCAGCAGCGAUCCCAGAGACUGCAAUUUCCUCUCAGGUAGCCAAACCCCAGCCAGCAUUCCCGGACGGUGAGCAAGCUCAGAGCCAACCGGCUCCAUCUCCGGAGGGAAUAGAUGCGGGAGAUAUACAUCCAUCUGUGGAAGAUGAUGGACCCUCGUCUACACCUGUAACAGAAACGGAGCAAGAUCCUCUCCGUACUGAGGAAUUUCGUAACUUUGCUGCCCUUCUCAUAAGACUCUCAAGAGCUCUUAACUUAGAAACACCGAAACCCACCAAUGUUGUGAAGGACCCGUGUUUCUCUUCUUCGGAGCAACAAUCACCAACGCCUACAGCUCUACCAACCCUGCCCUAUUUGCUCCAGAUUAUCAAAACAGUUGGCGUUGCACCAUCCUUGGUUCCAGCUACCCCAAAAAGAGCUGAGAAUCUUUACAAGUUGGACCUGUCGGCAACCUCCUGGCUUGCCAAGAUGCCCAACGCUAAUUCUGUUGUGAAGGAUGCGCAACCUAAACCGGCCCAGAAAGCCCAGCUUACCCCUUCGGACAGGGAAGGCAAAAAAUUGGACACUAUGGCAAGGAAAUUUUAUUCUUCCGCUUGCCUUUUCGCCAGAAUGGCUCACUUUGGAGUAUAUAUGAGCGUGUACCAGACCUAUCUUUGGAACAAAAUUGGUCCCUUCCUUGAAUCUCUAUCUCCCAAUGAGCAAAUCUUAGCCAAGGUGUUUAAACAAGAAGCCACGCUCCUCGCGAGUCUUCAGAAGGAGCUAGCAAAAAACACCGAUGCAUCUGGCAAACUUCUAGCAGGAGCGGUCGCCCUACGUAGACACGCUUGGUUGAGGGCUGCUACACUGUCCCCAUCCGCUCGUUCCCUCAUCGAGGAUCUUCCCAUGGACGAGGCCGGGUUAUUUAACCCUGAAACUGACUCACAAUUGGAACAUUCCCACAAAAUGAAGCAGACCAUUAAUAAAUAUGGUCAACAUCCUCACCAACCUUAUUCUUACCAUCAGCGUCAGCGUUGGGGAUAUCAAUCCCAAUACUACCGAGGACGUUACAGCCCCUCAUUCUCUCGGGGAAGCCAGCGCCAGCAGCCCACCUUCACGGGAAACCGUAAGCCGUCUUUCCCUUCCAGAGGUCAAUACAAGGGGCCCAAGCCAGCGGACAAUAGGAGACGGCGCUUUUAG
Long non-coding RNA from Anolis carolinensis (green anole), 2181 nucleotides. The record is from Ensembl. Lineage: Eukaryota; Metazoa; Chordata; Lepidosauria; Squamata; Anolidae.